This 117-nucleotide ribosomal RNA is filed under the name Candidatus Dojkabacteria bacterium. The record is from RNAcentral.
UUUGGUGAUAGUAUCGCUGUGGCACCACCUGAUCCCAUCCCGAACUCAGAAGUGAAACACAGUUGAGCCGACGAUACUUAGUCCGAAGGGUCUUGGGAAAAUAGGUAAUUGCCACUU